RNAcentral lists this small nuclear RNA (107 nucleotides) under Theropithecus gelada (gelada). The record is from RNAcentral. Lineage: Eukaryota; Metazoa; Chordata; Mammalia; Primates; Cercopithecidae.
GUGCUUGCUUCAGCAGCACAUAUACUAAAACUGAAAUGAUACAGAGAAGAUUAGCAUGGCCCCUGCGCAAGGAUUACAUGCAAAUUUGUGAAGUGUUCUGCAUUUCU